ACGCUGGCGGCGUGCUUAAUACAUGCAAGUCAACUGAACUUAAGAUAGCAAUAUUUUAAGGGAGGUGGCGCACGGGUGAGUAACACGUAGGUAAUCUGCCUUUAGGUCUGACACAACCCCGAGAAAUCGGGGCUAAUAUCAGAUGAUGCAGCGGCUCGACAUCGAGACAGUUGUUAAACCUUCGGGGCCUAAAGAUGAGCCUGCGUCUGAUUAGCUGGUUGGCGGGGUAACGGCCCACCAAGGCAACGAUCAGUAGCUGGUCUGAGAGGAUGAUCAGCCACACUGGAACUGAGACACGGUCCAGACUCCUACGGGAGGCAGCAGUAAGGAAUAUUGCUCAAUGGCCGAAAGGCUGAAGCAGCAACGCCGCGUGGAGGAUGAAAUACUUUUGUAUGUAAACUCCUGUGAGAAGGGAAAAAUAUGCAGAUUUCUGCGUUGAUUGUACCUUCAGAGGAAGCCCCGGCUAACUACGUG
Molecule: ribosomal RNA, 474 nt
Filed under: uncultured bacterium
Lineage: Bacteria
Description: bacterial SSU rRNA
Rfam family: Bacterial small subunit ribosomal RNA
Source: RNAcentral